GCAACGGGAGCUUACCAUGCAGUCGAACGGCAGCACGGACUUCGGUCUGGUGGCGAGUGGCGAACGGGUGAGUAAUGUAUCGGAACGUGCCCAGUAGCGGGGGAUAACUACGCGAAAGCGUAGCUAAUACCGCAUACGCCCUACGGGGGAAAGCAGGGGAUCGCAAGACCUUGCACUAUUGGAGCGGCCGAUAUCGGAUUAGCUAGUUGGUGGGGUAACGGCUCACCAAGGCGACGAUCCGUAGCUGGUUUGAGAGGACGACCAGCCACACUGGGACUGAGACACGGCCCAGACUCCUACGGGAGGCAGCAGUGGGGAAUUUUGGACAAUGGGGGAAACCCUGAUCCAGCCAUCCCGCGUGUGCGAUGAAGGCCUUCGGGUUGUAAAGCACUUUUGGCAGGAAAGAAACGUCGCGGGUUAAUACCCCGCGAAACUGACGGUACCUGCAGAAUAAGCACCGGCUAACUACGUGCCAGACGCC
RNAcentral lists this ribosomal RNA (481 nucleotides) under Achromobacter sp. HE35B. RNAcentral's name for it is "bacterial SSU rRNA". It matches the Rfam family "Bacterial small subunit ribosomal RNA", at positions 39 to 516 of the family's 1533-position model. The record is from RNAcentral. Lineage: Bacteria; Pseudomonadati; Pseudomonadota; Betaproteobacteria; Burkholderiales; Alcaligenaceae.